CCUUCAAUAGCUCAGUUGGUAGAGCGGGGGACUGUAGAUUUAUAAUUGUGAUCCCAAGGUCGCUGGUUCGAAUCCGGCUCGAAGGA
Non-coding RNA from Nematostella vectensis (starlet sea anemone), 86 nucleotides. The record is from Rfam. NCBI's taxonomy places the organism in Eukaryota, Metazoa, Cnidaria, Anthozoa, Actiniaria, Edwardsiidae.